RNAcentral lists this ribosomal RNA (253 nucleotides) under uncultured bacterium. RNAcentral describes it as "partial 16S ribosomal RNA". It matches the Rfam family "Bacterial small subunit ribosomal RNA", at positions 524 to 776 of the family's 1533-position model. The record is from RNAcentral.
UACGGAGGGUGCGAGCGUUGUCCGGAAUCACUGGGCGUAAAGGGCGCGUAGGCGGCAUGCCAAGCGUGUGGUGAAAGCCCGGGGCUCAACCCCGGGUCGGCCGUGCGGACUGGCGUGCUCGAGCACUGUAGGGGCGGGUGGAAUUCCGGGUGUAGCGGUGGAAUGCGUAGAGAUCCGGAGGAACACCAGUGGCGAAAGCGGCCACCUGGACUGUACCUGACGCUCAAACACGAAAGCUAGGGGAGCGAACGGG